UACAGAGGGUGCGAGCGUUGUCCGGAAUCACUGGGCGUAAAGGGCGCGUAGGCGGCUUGAUAAGUAGGGGGUGAAAUCUUGCGGCUCAACUGCAAGGCUGCCUCCUAAACUGUCAGGCUUGAGCACAGUAGAGGCAGGUGGAAUUCCCGGUGUAGCGGUGGAAUGCGUAGAGAUCGGGAAGAACAUCGGUGGCGAAGGCGGUCGACUGGGCCAGUACUGACGCUGAGGCGCGACAGCGUGGGGAGCAAACAGG
RNAcentral lists this ribosomal RNA (253 nucleotides) under uncultured bacterium. RNAcentral's name for it is "partial 16S ribosomal RNA". It matches the Rfam family "Bacterial small subunit ribosomal RNA", at positions 524 to 776 of the family's 1533-position model. The record is from RNAcentral.